RNAcentral lists this ribosomal RNA (250 nucleotides) under uncultured Subdoligranulum sp. RNAcentral describes it as "partial 16S ribosomal RNA". It matches the Rfam family "Bacterial small subunit ribosomal RNA", at positions 91 to 339 of the family's 1533-position model. The record is from RNAcentral. Lineage: Bacteria; Bacillati; Bacillota; Clostridia; Eubacteriales; Oscillospiraceae.
CUUAGUGGCGAACGGGUGAGUAACGCGUGAGUAACCUGCCCUGGAGUGGGGGACAACAGUUGGAAACGACUGCUAAUACCGCAUAAGCCCACGGAUCCGCAUGGAUCUGCGGGAAAAGGAUUUAUUCGCUUCAGGAUGGACUCGCGUCCAAUUAGCUAGUUGGUGAGGUAACGGCCCACCAAGGCGACGAUUGGUAGCCGGACUGAGAGGUUGAACGGCCACAUUGGGACUGAGACACGGCCCAGACUCC